GACACCGCACGACUUUGACGAUAUCCCGAGGUUUCAUCUCCAAAGUGGGGAAGUUCCAUUUGCCGUGAAUGGGGAUGGAUUCGGUGAGGAUGACAUCCAGACGCUUCACCUGCUCCCAGUUCAGCACGCUCAGAUAAUACUGAAUGUCAAUGCUGCCCUCUAGAGAAAGACAUCAUGCUUGGAACUCGAACUUUACCUUUAUGCAGGUGAACUGUGACCCGGCCCAUUAGCUGUUGGCAUGUGAUGUUGUUGAAUGGUUCUGUAGGAAUCUGACAUUCCUCAGGGUCAGCUGAAGCGGUCAGGAGUUUCCUGUCUCUCUCCACACGCUCACCCAGAGUCAUAAACUUUAUCACACUGUUUUUCUUCUAAUUGCCCGUAUGCCUUCUCUUUAGCUCACACUAAAACAUACGUUACCGAAAAAGAAACGUGAGAGUGCGCUGCAUUAAAGUGUCUGUCUCUCGAACUCCUUCUAUUCAGGUAAGAAGUAAAACAGAAACUUGUGUUUGAUAGCUGCAAUGAGAUCGGAUGGAGUUUUAGCACUUCCACCACCCCAGCUAUACCAAUGAAAGAGGUACAUGCUUUGGCUCACUCUCUCUUUCAAGCGUUGACCACUAACCCCCUGUCAGCCAAGCUGGGUUUUAGAAAAAAACCUUACAGUAUCACUAUGCACUACUACAAACCAUGAACCGUAAAGUCUAUACUUGCUGUGUCAUUGUCACUGGCUGGAUGAAUGCAGCAUGUAACCUGACCUGUGUCUAGCA
Molecule: long non-coding RNA, 761 nt
Organism: Puntigrus tetrazona (Sumatra barb)
Lineage: Eukaryota; Metazoa; Chordata; Actinopteri; Cypriniformes; Cyprinidae
Exons: 3
Source: RefSeq, a predicted model, not a curated record